CAAGAAGUAGUUUAAUUAAAAUAUUAAUUUUGGAGAUUAAUGAUAGGAUUUUAUCCUUUUCUUGA
Molecule: transfer RNA, 65 nt
Filed under: Gonocephalum sp. MT-2015-Zz052324
Lineage: Eukaryota; Metazoa; Arthropoda; Insecta; Coleoptera; Tenebrionidae
Description: tRNA-Pro
Source: RNAcentral